CAUGAACUUGUCUCCACUCCUCAAAGC
RNAcentral lists this non-coding RNA (27 nucleotides) under Rattus norvegicus (Norway rat). The record is from RNAcentral. Lineage: Eukaryota; Metazoa; Chordata; Mammalia; Rodentia; Muridae.